GUGACGAGCGGCGGACGGGUGAGUAAUGUCUGGGAAACUGCCUGAUGGAGGGGGAUAACUACUGGAAACGGUAGCUAAUACCGCAUAACGUCUUCGGACCAAAGUGGGGGACCUUCGGGCCUCACGCCAUCAGAUGUGCCCAGAUGGGAUUAGCUAGUAGGUGGGGUAAUGGCUCACCUAGGCGACGAUCCCUAGCUGGUCUGAGAGGAUGACCAGCCACACUGGAACUGAGACACGGUCCAGACUCC
Molecule: ribosomal RNA, 248 nt
Filed under: uncultured bacterium
Lineage: Bacteria
Description: partial 16S ribosomal RNA
Rfam family: Bacterial small subunit ribosomal RNA
Source: RNAcentral